Molecule: transfer RNA, 64 nt
Filed under: Vema ewingi
Lineage: Eukaryota; Metazoa; Mollusca; Monoplacophora; Tryblidiida; Neopilinidae
Description: tRNA-Lys
Source: RNAcentral
AAGCCAAAGAGCUCGGCUAGAGCAAUAGAAUUUUAAUCUAUAGGCAGUCUAAGAACUUUUGGCC